RNAcentral lists this ribosomal RNA (120 nucleotides) under Anolis carolinensis (green anole). The record is from RNAcentral. Lineage: Eukaryota; Metazoa; Chordata; Lepidosauria; Squamata; Anolidae.
UCCAACUGCUUGUAAUACACUAAAGUCAUCAGAUUCCAUCUGAUCUUGGAUGCUAAGCAGUGUCAGUGCUGGUUAGUACUUGUAUGGGAGACCACCAAGGAAUACCAAGUGCUGUAGGCU